UGGGGUGUGGCCAAGUGGCAAGGCACGGGGUUUUGAUCCCCGGAUCCCAGGUUCGAAUCCUGGCACCCCAGCCA
Molecule: transfer RNA, 74 nt
Filed under: Thiotrichales bacterium
Lineage: Bacteria; Pseudomonadati; Pseudomonadota; Gammaproteobacteria; Thiotrichales
Description: tRNA-Gln
Rfam family: tRNA
About the family: Transfer RNA (tRNA) molecules are approximately 80 nucleotides in length. Their secondary structure includes four short double-helical elements and three loops (D, anti-codon, and T loops).
Source: RNAcentral